Molecule: ribosomal RNA, 313 nt
Filed under: uncultured Pseudoperonospora
Lineage: Eukaryota; Oomycota; Peronosporomycetes; Peronosporales; Peronosporaceae
Description: partial large subunit ribosomal RNA
Rfam family: Eukaryotic large subunit ribosomal RNA
Source: RNAcentral
AUAUUACUAAGCGGAGGAAAAGAAAUCAACGAAGAUUGCCUCAGUAGCGGCGAGUGAAGCGGCAAUAGCUCAAGUUUAGAAUCUGUGAUCGUCUCGGUCACCGAAUUGUAAUCUAAAGGGGCUAACAAAAGGGGAAGUGGAGGCAUAAGUUCCUUGGAAAAGGGCGUCAAAGAGGGUGAAAACCCCGUAUGUAGCCUCCGCCGAACCGAAUGUUAACCUUCUGAGAGUCGGGUUGUUUGGGAUUGCAGCCCUAAAUGGGAGAUAAACUUCUUCUAAGGCUAAAUAUGUAUGGGAGACCGAUAGCGCACAAGUA